ACUAGGUCUAUAGUUCAGACAUGUAACAAGAAUUUUACUAAUACAAGACUAUGAUUUACUGUAAUUACAGUAAUUUAAUAAACAUUUACCAAGCUUUCUCUGCCUGCAAAAUAUAGUGCUAGGAAAGUAAUAAGACUGAUCUCUUCCUUCAAUAGCCUCUUAGUAUAAUGUAUGGUUGUAGAAAGGAGAUGUAAAUAUGCCAAUGGAGAAAUAAUAAAUAAGAUUUAAAACAACACUUGAAAAUGCAAAAGAGGGGAAUGUUAUAAGACAGUAUACAUUUAAUUGUCAAAAAUGAUACAAAUUUCUUGUGGCAAAGGACUUUAAAAUGAGAGUACAAAUUACUUCGUGCUGAAAGAGUAGGAGGAGAUUAUGGACCAAGUAGGAUUUGAGCUGGACCUAUAAUUCUGGAUUAUAGGUCUGGUGCCAAUGUCUCUGGAUGAGUGGGCAGGCUUGAUGCCAGGGUUCAGGGACAGGCUUGCCCUCUCAUUCCCCCAUAGCAGAAUUUAUGAGCCAAAGUAAUCUCUCUCAACAUUGUGCUAGGCUGUAUUGGGGAAAGAGUGAAACAUACAAAGAGAAAUUGUUUUCUUACCCUUUAAAUGUAUCUUCCUCAUAUCUGUGUUCCCCUUGGGUACUGUAACCUCUCACCUGGAUCCUGGAACUCUCAUCAAGGUAUUUUUAUAUGCAGAUGGUUGUUAAUUUGGUGUUUUUGUUGGGGGGGGCGGGGACAAGGGCUAGGAAAUCCUUGUUCUGCCGUAUUGCUGAUAUCAUUCUCUUCAACUGUCUUAAAUAUGCUCAUAACUAAAAGAAAUUGAAAGAACAAUAUAUCAACAAAUAUAGAAAACCAGUAAAGAAACAGAAAUUAUAAGAAAUAAUCAGACAAAAAUUCUGGGGUUGGAAAUAAUAAUAACUGAAAUUAAAAAUUCACUAAGGAGUUUCAAUAGAUGAUGUAAACAGCCCUAAGAAAGAGUCAGUAUAUAAGAAGAUCAGUCCAUUAUCCAGUCUGAGGGGCAAAAAGAAAGAAGAGUGAACUAAAUAAAUAAACAAACAAAUAAAAGCAUAUGAGACCUGUGGGAUACUAUCUAGCAUAGUAACAUAUACAUAAUGGGAAUCUCAGAAAGAGGGGAUAGAGAAAAGGACAGACAAUACUUGAAGAAAUAAUGGCCAAAAUCUUCCCAUAUUUGAUAAAAUACAUGAUAUUCAAGGGCUCAGUCAAGCCUAAGAAAGAUGAACACAAAAAGGAAUACAUAAGACAUAUUAUAAUAAAUUUGUUUAAACCAAGACAAAAAGAGAGUCUUAAAAACAGCAAGAGAAAAGUAACUCAUCGCGGGCAUGGGAUCCUCAAUAAAAUUAGCAGGAAUUUUCUCAUCAUAAACCAUGGGGGCCAGAAGAAAGUGAAAUGAUAUUUUUUUAAUUACUGAAAAUAAAAUAACUGUCAGCCAAGAAUUCUAUAUCUAGAAAAAACUACUUCAUUCAAAAACAUAGGAAAAAUGAAGAAAUUCACAGAUACAUGGAAGCUGAGGGAGUUAGAUGCUAGUAGACCUGCCCUACAGGAAAUGCACUACGAGCCAGGGAAUCCUUCAUGCUGGAAUGAAAAAAUGCUAGACAGUAACUCAAGGCCAUAUAAAGAAACAAUGAACUACACUAAUAUAUAAUAUUAUAUCUGUUUGUAACUCUUCUUUAUAUUAUUUACAUGAUUUAAAAGACAACUAUAUAAAGAUUAUUAUAAAUCAUGUUAAUGGGGGGGGGCGGUGCUCUGGAAAACCAGACAGCGUGGCAGCUGCUCUUCAAAGUUUUUGCCAUUGUUGUUGCCACCAUGAGUCGCAACUAUAAUGAUGAGCUGAAGUCCUUGGAAAAGAUCAAUAAAAAUUGCUGGAGGAUCAAGAAGGGCUUCGUGCCCAACAUGCAGGUUGAAGGAGUUUUCUAUAUGAAUGAUGCUCUGGAGAAAUUAAUGUUUGAGGAAUUAAGGAAUGCCUGUUGCAGUGGUGGUGUUGGUGGCUUCUUGCCAGCCAUGAAGCAGACUAGCAAUGGGGCAGACCUCCCUGGGAUUGUUCAUCGAUCAAUUGGGCUUCCUGAUGUCCAUUCAGGCUAUGGGUUUGCUAUUGGAAAUAUGGCAGCCUUUGAUAUGAAUGACCCUGAAGCAAUGGCAUCCCCAGGUGGUGUCAGAUUUGAUAUCAACUGUGGUGUCUGCUUGCUAAGAGCCAAUUUAGAUGAAAGUGAUGUCCAGCCUGUGAAGGAGCAACUUGCCCAAGCUAUGUUUGACCACAUUCCUGUUGGGGGGGAAUCAAAAGGCAUCAUCCCAAUGAAUGCCAAAGACUUGGAGGAGGCCUUGGAGAUGGGUGUGGACUGUUCCCUGAGAGAAGGCUAUGCCUGGGCUGAAGACAAGGAGCACUGUGAAGAGUACGGAAGGAUGCUGCAAGCUGACCCCACCAACGUCUCUGCAAGGGCUAAAAAAAAGAGCCUUCCUUAGUUGGGGACCCUGGGAGCAGGCAAUCACUAUGCAGAAAUCCAGGUUGUGGAUGAGAUUUUCAAUGAGUAUGCUGCUAAGAAAAUGGGCAUCGACCGAUGAUCCACAGUGGAAGCAGAGGCUUGGGCCACCAAGUAGCCACAGAUGCACUGAUAGCUAUGGAAAAGGCCAUGAAGAGAGACAAGAUUAUAGUCAAUGACCGGCAGUUGGCUUGUGCGCAAAUUGCUUCCCCAGACGGUCAGGACUACCUGAAGGGAAUGGCAGUGGCUGGGAACUAUGCCUGGGUCAACCACUCUUCCAUGACCUUCUUAACCUAUCAAGCUUUUGCCAUGGUCUUCAACACAACCUCUGAUGACUUGGACCUGCACGUGAUCUGUGAUGUUUCUCACAACAUUGCCAAAGUGGAGCAGCAUGUGGUGGAUGGGAAGGAGCGGACACUGUUAGUGCACUGGAAGGGGUCCACCGGCGUCUUCCCUCCUCACCAUCCCCUCAUUGCUGUAGAUUACCAACUCACCGGACAGUACUCAUUGGUGGCACCAUGGGAACCUGUAGUUACGUUCUUACAGGCACUGAGCAGGGCAUGACUGAGACCUUUGGAAAACCUGUCAUGGAGUGGGCCGUGCAUUGUCCCAGGCCAAAUCUCGACAUAAUUUAGAUUUCUAGGAUGUCUUAGAUAAAUUGGCAGAUAUGGGUAUCUCAAUCCAUGUUGCCUCACCCAAAUUGGUUAUGGAAGAAGCUCCUGAGUCCUAUAAGAAUGUGACAGAUGUGGUGAACACCUGCCAUGACGCUGGGAUCGGCAAGAAAGCCAUUAAACUGAGACCAGUCGAGGUUAUCAAAGGGUAGGACUUGGAACCACAGGGCUGCCGGACCCCACUAACACUCUCUGAAGUGAAAGUGAAUGGAAAUGCUCUUCAGACAUCAGACUCCAGAACUGACAGGUUCCAAAGGGCACAGCUAAAACUGCUGACCGGGAGGCUGAUGCUUUGGAGAGCCAGUGUUUUAAAAUCACUUUUGGGAAGAGGCACAUUGUCCCCAUUUCAAAAGGGAAAAAUGUGCCUCCUCCAUUGUCCCCAGAUUUUGAGAAAAAUCUAUUAGAUGGUGGGUAGGGGUCAAGAAACUGCCUUACUCCAUCAUACAAAUGUUUAGCCAUCAAAAUGAUCUUCUUUACACCAAGUUCUGUUUACAUCCCAAGAGGUGUCAUGAAGAACAUUCUAUUAAAUAAUUUGGGGGGAUGUUUCCCUUCUUCCCUCUAUUUGUCAGUUUAUCCAGUCCCCCACCCAUCUAGCCACCACCCCUAUACAGAGCAGACCCUAAAUACCCUUCUUCCUUGGAGCACACUCCAGGGAUUGUGAUCAAGAUACCAGGUGAAUGGGUAGUGAGCUGUGUUGAGGAAGGAGUGCAUGCGCAGGUGGAAGGAAAGGGAGGCCCCAAAGAGAAACAUUUCAUGCCCUUGCUACUUUUCUCAUGCUAAAUACAAAUGAGUUUUGACUGACCUGGCACAUGGCAUCACUAGUAUCUGUCAUUAUUCAGGACUAUCCUGGUAAAAUAUUUUUCAGUAAUGCCUUGCACAGCAGCAGCAAAGAACCCUCACAGAAGACUGAAUAUCUUUACAUUUAUGGUUGAAUUAUUACAAAACCAAAGCUGUGACAGUUAACAGUGGCUCUGUGUUGAUAGAUUUGUCUAGUCUUGUGCCACUUAAUCAGAUGUCACAGUAUAUACAAAUGACACCACAAAAAUGUUAAAGGACUGUAGUUGAAGGUUACUAAGGCCUCUGUUGAAUCUGAAC
This is an RNA transcript of Otolemur garnettii (small-eared galago), 4250 nucleotides long. It is a transcript of the gene named tRNA-splicing ligase RtcB homolog pseudogene, with no coding region annotated. The record is from RefSeq and is a predicted model, not a curated record. NCBI's taxonomy places the organism in Eukaryota, Metazoa, Chordata, Mammalia, Primates, Galagidae. The transcript has a single exon.